Molecule: long non-coding RNA, 1073 nt
Filed under: Ficedula albicollis (Collared flycatcher)
Lineage: Eukaryota; Metazoa; Chordata; Aves; Passeriformes; Muscicapidae
Description: lncRNA (ENSFALG00000029072.1)
Source: RNAcentral
GGGGGGGGGGGGGGGGGGGGGGGGGGGGGGGGGGGGGGGGGGGGGGGGGGGGGGGGGGGGGGGGGGGGGGGGGGGGGGGGGGGGGGGGGGGGGGGGGGGGGGGGGGGGGGGGGGGGGGGGGGGCGGCGGCCCGGCGGGAUUUGGGCUCACGGGGGCGGGAGCCGGAGGGGGCGGCCCGGGCGGGGCGGGGAAUGGAGCGGGGCGGCGGUGGCGGUGGCGGGCACGUGGGUUUGGGGCGCACUCCUGGCCUAGGGGUGAGGAUUCCCCGGAGGGUGAGGUUGCCCUAUGAUCCUGGAUACGAGCGGGUAUUCCCGCCGCACAGGUGCUCACAGGAGUUUCAUCUCUGGAAAGUCCUCUCGCAGAACGGGCAAAACACUAGUUUACCAAGUCUGAGAAUCGGAUUUCCUGCCUUUGUGUGAUCAAUCGCAAACUACCUGCUAAGAUCAGACUUCCCACUUCUGUCUUUUUAUCCACCAAGACCAGAUGGUUACAUGACCAAUUGUCCGAAGAAGUGUCCCAGGAAGUUUCUUUGACCACCACUGCUUACCUGGCAGAAUUACGACAACAAAACAAUAACAAUUAUUGAUUACUACAAGGAAAACCAUCCUAUAGAAAGGGAGCUGCAAACCAGGUUCAGUGAAAGUGUGGAGUGGGCGGUGACCCCUCACGUUUUGUCUAUUUAAAAUAAAGCAAUCGAAAUUUUGCUGAAUAUCGAGACUUUUGUUUCUCAUUUAUAACACAAACAAUAAAAUGAUGCUUUAUUUAUGUUUUAAUUAAGGGGAACUAUCAGUGGGAGCUUUUUUUUUCCCUCUGUGGGCCUCCAGAUUUCCUGAUACCCCUUGCGAAAGAGCUUUGCUUGUUUUCCUGCUCACCUGUGGCUCACUUGAUAAUGUGACAAGGUAACAACUUGAGCACGUUGGCUUUAACUGGUUAAAAUCUGUGCUGUGCCCCUGUACACCCAGCAGGGUUUAGUUGCAGCACUGGGACAGCAGUGCUGUGCAAGUAGAGUGCCCAGCAGUUAAUUUGCAGCACAAGCCCUGGCCCCAGCUGGUCAUACUGAACCAGCAGUAGUG